Molecule: ribosomal RNA, 465 nt
Filed under: uncultured bacterium
Lineage: Bacteria
Description: partial 16S ribosomal RNA
Rfam family: Bacterial small subunit ribosomal RNA
Source: RNAcentral
GACGAACGCUGGCGGCGUGCUUAACACAUGCAAGUCGAACGGAAAGGCCCUGCUUGCAGGGUACUCGAGUGGCGAACGGGUGAGUAACACGUGGGUGAUCUGCCCUGCACUUCGGGAUAAGCUUGGGAAACUGGGUCUAAUACCGGAUAGGAGCCAUCUUUAGUGUGGUGGUUGGAAAGUUUUUUCGGUGUAGGAUGAGCUCGCGGCCUAUCAGCUUGUUGGUGGGGUAAUGGCCUACCAAGGCGGCGACGGGUAGCCGGCCUGAGAGGGUGUACGGCCACAUUGGGACUGAGAUACGGCCCAGACUCCUACGGGAGGCAGCAGUGGGGAAUAUUGCACAAUGGGCGCAAGCCUGAUGCAGCGACGCCGCGUGGGGGAUGAAGGCCUUCGGGUUGUAAACUCCUUUCGCUAGGGACGAAGCUUUUUUGUGACGGUACCUAGAUAAGAAGCACCGGCGAACUACGU